GGAUGUGAGGACAAGCGCUGGGGCAUCUGUCGGUCCGUCCUUGCCGGGGCCAACCUGCUGACCUGGCCAGCCGGGCGGGGUCCCCAACCGCAUCCCUCACCGAUCCCUGCGUGUCCCUCUGGAAGCUGCCCCUGCGGUCCACGCGGACCCUUCUGCGAAGAGGAGGACCGCUCUUCAGUCAAGGGCCGUGAGUGACAGCGGCCUCCGCGCCAUCCUCCAAACUAGCCCUCGGUGCGUUUGUGCGGGACGUAGGGCGGCCCAGCUUCUAGGACCCAGACACCUCCAAAUGAGGCACGUGUGCCGCCCUCU
Molecule: small nuclear RNA, 309 nt
Filed under: Mustela putorius furo (domestic ferret)
Lineage: Eukaryota; Metazoa; Chordata; Mammalia; Carnivora; Mustelidae
Description: 7SK RNA (ENSMPUG00000023521.1)
Rfam family: 7SK RNA
About the family: 7SK was discovered as an abundant small nuclear RNA in the mid-70s but a possible function has only recently been suggested.
Source: RNAcentral